UUACCAAAAAAAAAUAAACAAAACAAAAAACCAUUAAAAAAAAGCUUGGUAGGUUUGGUCCGAUCUAAAGUCAUGAGAACUGAGACAAAUGAAAUGACACGUGUAUGAUGUUGAAAGCUUCCAUGGAGACGUACAAGUCUCCGGAGGAGACAAUUUCUCCUCUGCGUUUCGACUUUCGACUCCUAUCUCUCUCUUUCUCGGAGAAGAAAGAGAUUCAUCAUCUUCUCUCACCAUUAAUCUUCUUCCUUGUCAAAGAUUUUCAAGGCCAUUCAUAAGAUUCCGGUGAAUUUUCCGAGAAACGAUGUCAAUCUUGUGCAACAAUGGCCGCAAAAGAGAUAAGAGAAGAGGAAGAAGAAAAGAGAAAGAAACAACGAUAGAAGAGAAUCAUCAAUGUUGUUGUUGUUGCGUGUGGCCUCCAUUUUCAAUGGUUAGAGGAUUAAAGAGAUGUUUCUUCAUCUCAUGUUAUCCAUUUAUUCGAUGUUUAGGAUUGGAAGAGAGAAGACAUCGUCAUCAUCUUCAUCACCACAACCAUUUUCUAUGAUUCCAUUAUGUGUAUUUGUGUAUAAAAUUACCAUAGGGAAUUUGAAAACAUUUCUUGAUUUCAGAGAAAACAUGUAAAAUAAUCAAAUAAGGAAUCAAGACAAUGAAAUGUUUCA
Long non-coding RNA from Arabidopsis lyrata subsp. lyrata, 656 nucleotides. RefSeq lists it as uncharacterized. The transcript has 2 exons. The record is from RefSeq and is a predicted model, not a curated record. NCBI's taxonomy places the organism in Eukaryota, Viridiplantae, Streptophyta, Magnoliopsida, Brassicales, Brassicaceae.